AUUGAACGCUGGCGGCAGGCCUAACACAUGCAAGUCGAGCGGAUGAAGGGAGCUUGCUCCUGGCUUCCGUGGCGGACGGGUGAGUAAUGCCUAGGAAUCUGCCUUGUCGUGGGGGAUAACGUCCGGAAACGGGCGCUAAUACCGCAUACGUCCUGAGGGAGAAAGUGGGGGAUCUUUGGACCUCGCGCUAUCUGAUGAGCCUAGGACGGAUUAGCUAGUUGGUGGGGUAAAGGCCUACCAAGGCGACGAUCCGUAACUGGUCUGAGAGGAUGAUCAGUCACACUGGAACUGAGACACGGUCCAGACUCCUACGGGAGGCAGCAGUGGGGAAUAUUGGACAAUGGGCGAAAGCCUGAUCCAGCCAUGCCGCGUGUGUGAAGAAGGUCUUCGGAUUGUAAAGCACUUUAAGUUGGGAGGAAGGGCAGUAAGUUAAUACCUGGCUGUUUUGACGGUACCAACAGAAUAAGCACCGGCUAACUUCGUG
Molecule: ribosomal RNA, 484 nt
Filed under: uncultured bacterium
Lineage: Bacteria
Description: partial 16S ribosomal RNA
Rfam family: Bacterial small subunit ribosomal RNA
Source: RNAcentral